Molecule: long non-coding RNA, 100 nt
Organism: Haliotis rubra (blacklip abalone)
Lineage: Eukaryota; Metazoa; Mollusca; Gastropoda; Lepetellida; Haliotidae
Exons: 3
Source: RefSeq, a predicted model, not a curated record
UGCCACUGACAGACUAUGGUACUGUCGGAAAAGAUAGAAAAUUGCUUUUUGACUUUUAUGUAAAAAUCAUAGAUAUUACAGUUACUUACAUAACAAACAU